This is a long non-coding RNA of Zingiber officinale, 1412 nucleotides long. RefSeq lists it as uncharacterized. NCBI's taxonomy places the organism in Eukaryota, Viridiplantae, Streptophyta, Magnoliopsida, Zingiberales, Zingiberaceae. The transcript is spliced from 4 exons. The record is from RefSeq and is a predicted model, not a curated record.
UGGUAUAUCUCUGAGGGUUAUAUUGGAUGGAGAUCAGCGAUUUCACAUCAUGUUUUGACUGAGGUUAUAGCAGACUUUGGGUUAGGAGCUUUACUUUAGUAUAGAUUUUCAUCUUAGAGUGAUGGAUAGUUUGAGCGCUCUAUCAUGUGUUGGAGGAUUUAUUGAUAGUGGAUUUUGGAUUUUAGAGGUGUUUGAUUUAUCCACAGUUGGCUAGAUUGCAGAGUGGGAGUAACAGGAGCAGAGUGAGCUCAUAGCUCACAAAGUCAUCACUAUUCACUUGGAGGUGGAUUGUCAUGCUUAGAGAUAUGUUUAUGAUACUAGGGUUGGAGAUUUGUUUAUGAUACUUGGAUGAGUGGCAUAUGAGUAUGUUGAUUGGUGGAUACCUUGGAGGAGGGUCCCUGAGUUGACCAGUAAAUUUGGGGACCAAAUUUUUUAUUAGUGGGGGAGAAUGUAAAAUACCACAAAAUUAAAUAAUAAAUGUUAUUGGACGGAAAAUCUUAUUGGAUUUUUCAGGAAUUUCUAGAAAUUUUUCGGGAUUUAAACGGAGUCUGUAUGACCCAUUUUAGGGGGAUAGAUCCUGGGUACAGAGGAGGUCUGUUUGGAAUACCCAAAGGUGGGAAUUGAUUGAGGAGUGGACUUAGGCUUUGAUUAAGCUAAAUUAGGUUUGGGGAUUAAUGCUACAGUAACCUACCUUAUAAGCGCCGAGGACCCCUCUUUUCCCCCGAUUCUUCUUCCUCCCCUGUCCACUUCGUCCCGAUCCUCACCGGCGAUUCUCCUCCUCCUCCUUAUCUCGGUGUCGCCGGCGUGGCUGAUGGUGGAGUGCUUAGGAGGGAAGACAAGCUACGGGCGUUUCUCUCCUUCCUCCCAUUCUCGAUUCCCAUCGCAUCUCAGUCGUGAUGCCGGCGAUUCUUGAUCGCGCCAGUGAUGUCCAGCCCAUCGCCACCGGACCUUCCUUCUCCAUCCCGAUUGCUGAUGCCCCGUCUCCCUCCUCCCUCUCCCGUUCGUGAUGCUGGAAUCCAUCGACCCACGGGAUGCCGUAGCCGUUCUUGAAGCUGUGCCCUAGCUCAGAUUCGUCGCCGACAACCACUCUUUCCCCCACCCGAUGUGUUUCUCUCGCAACCUCUUCUGAUCGUUGGUCGCACUACCACGGCCUCGCUGCCUCGCCGUGUACUGGAGUCUCGAUCGAGUGCCACCACCAGGGAACGAUUAGUUUAGGCAUCAGAUCGAAAUAUUGGAGGAUUGCACUGUUGCCGAUCACUGCCACUCCAACUCUUGAAGCUGUGGAGGUCACGGGUGUGAAGGAAUUCUUGGUGGUUGUGUGCAGAGAUUGGUAGAGGGCUGUUGAGCUACUGGGUUUGUUGCCAUACCUCAAGGACUUGGAUUCGGGACGAGCGUCUCGACACGGGAUUACU